CCUACUUAAUUUGUUUGCAAAAUUUUGCAUGUGUGUAUUUAUGCAUUUUCCUGCAAAGAUGGUUCAUAAGAAAAUUACAGAACUUUUAAAAAAUUGGAAUAACACUUAGCAUAACACUAGUAGCAGUAUUUUCUUUUAAUUUAAGAAAAUGUUCUUAAACUUCCUAAUACUUCCUUGAUUUUCAAGUUCUUCAGAUGCCUGAAAAUAAAAAGGUGCUAAUGGUCCUGAUGUGCUCUAAGAGAUCAAAAGCCAUGCUACUAAAUAAAGUAAGGAAUUACCCAGAAAAUCAGCAAGAUCCGGAUCUUGUCAUAUACUUCUGCACCUAGCAUAAUGAACCUUAUGGAAGAUAUCUUGGUAUUUUAGCUUUAGGCGAAGUUAUAUAUUCUGUUAAGAAAUGGUCAAAGAAAAAGGAUAUCCCACAUUUCUACUCGUUGUACCUUUUUACCUAUACUUUCUAUUUAUCACUUAAAGGCAAUUAAUCUUUACCUGUAAGCAAAAAUGGGUUCAAAGGGCUUCUACAUCUUUCUAAUUGCCACAUCAUGUAGUAUUCAUUAGCUGAUUCUUCAGCAGUAAGCAAAUUACUGAAAAAAAGAGUUAAAGUUUAAUACAUUAAUAAUAUUGAGUCUUUU
Molecule: long non-coding RNA, 629 nt
Filed under: Homo sapiens (human)
Lineage: Eukaryota; Metazoa; Chordata; Mammalia; Primates; Hominidae
Description: HSALNT0154034
Source: RNAcentral